RNAcentral lists this unclassified non-coding RNA (309 nucleotides) under plant metagenome. RNAcentral's name for it is "partial contains 5.8S ribosomal RNA, internal transcribed spacer 2, and large subunit ribosomal RNA". The stretch from base 1 to 105 matches the Rfam family "5.8S ribosomal RNA", at positions 50 to 154 of the family's 154-position model. The record is from RNAcentral.
GAAAUGCGAUAAGUAGUGUGAAUUGCAGAAUUCAGUGAAUCAUCGAAUCUUUGAACGCACAUUGCGCCCCUUGGUAUUCCAUGGGGCAUGCCUGUUCGAGCGUCAUUUGUACCCUCAAGCUCUGCUUGGUGUUGGGUGUUUGUCCCGUCUCCGCGCGUGGACUCGCCCCAAAGUGAUUGGCAGCCGGCGUACUGGUCCCGGAGCGCAGCACAUGUCGCGCAAACGAGUGCCUUGGUACGGCGGCGUCCAUACGCCCCUCUCUCACGCUCUUGACCUCGGAUCAGGUAGGGAUACCCGCUGAACUUAAGC